GGCCUCUCGAAAUGACAAACUACAUAUAGCUAUGUACAAAACUAUACAAUAAUAAAAAAUGAAUUCAUAGUUAAUAAUACAGCGGCAGUGGCGAGCGGUUCAUUAAUCGAAUAAUUUGGCGGAGUUUGGCGGAAGGUCUAACCAGUAGCGGCUAUCUCGAAAAAUUGUACAGGUGCUUUUACUUAAAAAAACCUAGUACAAACAGACAGUACCCCUAUAGUACUAUAUAUUAGUACUACCAAUAUUUAAAGUUUAAUUAAUUUUAUUUGAGGUUUUGUCGUAUGAUUGUUUCUAACAAAAAAAAAAAAAAAAAAAAAAAACAAAAAAACCUAGUAAGUAUAAAUAAAUUUAUUUAAGAAUGCUGUUCUCAGUGUGAGGAAAAGAAUUUAAUUGAAAAUUGAAAAUAGUGCCUGAAUUUUUAAAUUCAUUGUGAAACAAGCUUGAUAUAACAGUAAUAAAAAAAAAAAUAAUAAUAACUGCACGACGAGCGACGGUGUGUGAUGUAUAUGGUAUAUCGAAACAGCAGUUGUCCAUUUAAACUGUGUAAAAUACAGACAAAUUUGUUAAAUGAUAUAACUAAUUUUCUAAUAUAUAAAUUAAUUACUAGUAAGCUCCAAAACAUCAGAAAUAUUGUGUGUAAUGCACUUUUGUAAAAAUCAUCAAAAUCGUAGGUACACUUAGAAAUUAAGUUAUAAAUGAAAAUAUGUGGAAUUUUUAAUGGAAGUUUAUAUUGAAUUCAGAAUCAUAGAUAUAUCACGGCAUUCGUUUCUAGCGUCGUCGUUGCCAUAGAUAAUAAUAAUUCUUUAUUAUUAUUAUUAUUUGCAUUGAUGAUAAAAAUUAGUGAAAUUACAACAAAACCCUUCGUAAACUACGUGUAAAAAUGGCUAAGCAAAAAAAAAAAAUAAAAGAGUUAGACAUAGAAUAUUAUUGAUAGUUAAUUUUUUAUAAGAUAAAAGCGCAUAAAUUCACAUUUAUAACAUUUAAAAAUGAAUAAUUCCUUCUACUCCACGGAAGUAAGUUAUUAAUAAUAAUCUUUGACACAUGUUUUUUUUAAUCUGGCCACAAAAUCGAGUAACUAUGAAACAAUAAACAGAAUUUAUUGACACUGUAUUGGGUAUACGUAACGGUGAUUUUCCGAAAAUAAUCAGUCUUCUUCGACAACUCAAGCCUUCAACAUCUAGAAGAAAUAAAAACAACCAAGAAGAAUCGUAGUGAAGAAACCGACCAGCAGAACAAAUAGUUACUACGACGAUCAGACCAGAGACAAGUACCCAGCGCCGGAUACAAGGUAAGUAUAAGUGGAAUAUGGCUCCUGGCGAUACCACUAUAAA
Long non-coding RNA from Aphis gossypii (cotton aphid), 1331 nucleotides. RefSeq lists it as uncharacterized. The record is from RefSeq and is a predicted model, not a curated record. The transcript is spliced from 3 exons. NCBI's taxonomy places the organism in Eukaryota, Metazoa, Arthropoda, Insecta, Hemiptera, Aphididae.